RNAcentral lists this ribosomal RNA (594 nucleotides) under Adelie penguin guano bacterium 24. RNAcentral describes it as "bacterial SSU rRNA". It matches the Rfam family "Bacterial small subunit ribosomal RNA", at positions 93 to 686 of the family's 1533-position model. The record is from RNAcentral.
GAGCGGCGGACGGGUGAGUAAUACUUAGGAAUCUACCUAGUAGUGGGGGAUAGCACGGGGAAACUCGUAUUAAUACCGCAUACUACCUACGGGAGAAAGGGGGCAGUUUACUGCUCUCGCUAUUAGAUGAGCCUAAGUCGGAUUAGCUAGAUGGUGGGGUAAAGGCCUACCAUGGCGACGAUCUGUAGCUGGUCUGAGAGGAUGAUCAGCCACACCGGGACUGAGACACGGCCCGGACUCCUACGGGAGGCAGCAGUGGCGAAUAUUGCCAAUGGGGGAAACCCUGAUCCAGCCAUGCCGCGUGUGCGAAGAAGGCCUUUUGGUUGUAAAGCACUUUAAGCAGUGAAGAAGACUCUUCGGUAAUACCCGGAGACGAUGACAUUAGCUGCAGAAUAAGCACCGUCUAACUCUGUGCCAGCAGCCGCGGUAAUACAGAGGGUGCAAGCGUUAAUCGGAAUUACUGGGCGUAAAGGGAGCGUAGGUGGCUCGAUAAGUCAGAUGUGAAAUCCCCGGGCUCAACCUGGGAACUGCAUCUGAUACUGUUGAGCUAGAGUAUGUGAGAGGAAGGUAGAAUUCCAGGUGUAGCCGGUGAAA